This 344-nucleotide unclassified non-coding RNA is filed under the name soil metagenome. RNAcentral's name for it is "partial contains 5.8S ribosomal RNA, internal transcribed spacer 2, and large subunit ribosomal RNA". The stretch from base 1 to 120 matches the Rfam family "5.8S ribosomal RNA", at positions 35 to 154 of the family's 154-position model. The record is from RNAcentral.
GACGAAGAACGUAGCGAAAUGCGAUAAGUAAUGUGAAUUGCAGAAUUCAGUGAAUCAUCGAAUCUUUGAACGCACAUUGCGCCCGCCAGCACUCUGGCGGGCAUGCCUGUCCGAGCGUCAUUUCAACCCUCAGGCCCCCCGGGGACUGGUGUUGGGGAUCGGCCCGCCCUGGCGCGGCGCCGUCCCCGAAAUACAGUGGCGGUCUCGCUGCAGCCUCCCCUGCGUAGUAGCACACCUCGCAUUGGAGAGCGGCGCGGCCACGCCGUGAAACCCCAACUUCUGAUAGUUGACCUCGGAUCAGGUAGGAAUACCCGCUGAACUUAAGCAUAUCAAUAAGCGGAGGA